AUCUUUCUCAAUGCGUUCUGAGAUUUCGUCAGACACCAAAACUUUAGGGCUGAUCAGACUUCCAACAUAUGUGAAGUU
Molecule: microRNA precursor, 78 nt
Filed under: Schistosoma margrebowiei
Lineage: Eukaryota; Metazoa; Platyhelminthes; Trematoda; Strigeidida; Schistosomatidae
Description: mir-3492 microRNA precursor family
Rfam family: mir-3492 microRNA precursor family
Source: Rfam by way of RNAcentral